AAUUAAAACAAUCUUUACCAUUUAGUGAUAACAAGCACUUUAUUUUACAUUUUAAUAUUUUAUGAUGUAUUUAAAUGAGUAGUUAUUGUUGCAAACUCCAUUAGAAAUUUGAAUUGAGAUCAGUUUUGGAAACAGGGAAAGGGGGAUGUGAAAACAAAUGGGGGUGGGGGGUUAAAUUUUUCUCAUUUCAGAUUUCAUAAAUAAAAAGAAAAUUUCUUGAAACAUUUUUUUGAGAGGAUUAAUAUUCAACAGCAUAGUGAAUUGCUCAAAGGCAAAAAAUAUUUUUAAGUUCAUUAGACCACAUUCAUUCUGUGUCAACUAUUUAAUCACAAUCCAAAUUUAGAGCUGAAUCCCGCUUGAAUGUUGUGUCCAUACUUGCCCCAACCGUUCAGGGUUCAACCUCUCCGGUCGUAUAAAGCUGCACCCUGCGGAGCAUCUGGUUUUAAGUGGAAGAACUUUAAAAAGUAGUUCUGAUUAUAAUUUUAAGUAACUUUAAUCUAUGGGCUUAAUCAUUACUUCAUAUUAGGACCAAAAGGAUAUUAAUGGCAUAUAUAUGACUGUUUAAACUGGAAGAAUAGAAACUGGGAUGUUUGAUGGUUUUAUGAUGUUGUGUGUUUUAGAUUUAUUCAUUCUUGUUAGACAAGACAACAUUGAAGCAGAUUGUUUCUUUAUGUUAGACUAUUGUAAUUUGGUUGUACAAAAAAAAAUCAGUAAGAAGAUACUCAAAUUAGGUUUUAGAGUAAAUAGUGCACUCAGUGCUAUCAAAUUAUUUUCCUGUACUCAUUGGCUGGUAGGUUAAUUUUUUAACUGCCUUUUUAACAGCUUAAUCUUACAAUUCAAAGAUUUGAUUGUUUCUUCAAUUAUUGUUUAAGUCAAUUAUAUUUGCUCUUUUUUCUUGAGAUGAUUAAGAUAAUAUUUUUUUAAUUUAUUACAUAUUUCACUAAUUUAACAAUGGUUUUGUCUCAAGAAGAGACAAUCCUCAUAGGUCUAUCCAGUGAUUGGGUUGUCUUCAAGGGAGACAAUCCUCAUAGGUCUAUCCAGUGAUUGGGUUGUCUUCAAGGGAGACAAUCCUCACAGGUCUAUCCAGUGAUUGGGUUAUCCUCAAGGGAGACAAUCCUCACAGGUCUAUCCAGUGAUUGGGUUAUCCGCAAGGGAGACAAUCCUCAUAGGUCUACCCAGUGAUUGGGUUAUCCUUCAUAAAUGAAUUAAAGCAACUGGAACUUUUCCUAAUAUAACAUGUAAAUAUGCUUUUGGACUGGUAUAGCUACACGUAGUACUGUAACAGUUAAACAUUUUGUACUUCAAAACAUGAUCAAGUCAGUUCUCCUUUUUUACUUGAUUUGUACACGUAUAAGUGUACACUACUUAUGCUGUUAAAUUAAUACAGAAAGUAGAAAACAUUUUCUGUCUUCUGCUUGGUAAGAUCAUUUUCAUUGAUGCAAUGAUUACUUGUUUUACUUAUUUACGAAUUGGAAUUGAUACAUGCAGAGUGUUUUUGUAUUUGAAACUGUUUAUCCACUAGUCAAAUUUAAUUUACUCAGAUUCUGCCUAGCAGAACAUCCAUGCAAAUUAAUUUUCAAUAAUUGAAACAUUUUCUUGAAAUUAAUUUUAGUAUUAGUAGCUAAAAAUCUAUUUUUGCUUGUUUAACAAGCUUUGAAGUAUAUGUUGAGAUGAAUCAUACACAGUUAUUCUGAAAUCCAUAGAGUAGUGCUUAUCAUAGAUCCUUAUGCUAGUUCAUAUAGGAUCAACCGUCCAUCAUGAUCACAUUUAUCAUAAUCAUGAUUAUGAGUGCUUAAAGCCAAUUUUUAUUGUACAUUGUUGUAUGUUGUUUUGCUUGCCAAAGGCAAACUGUUGACUUGUUGGACAAUUGAUAUUUGAUGCAAUAAAAUUGUUUG
This 1895-nucleotide long non-coding RNA is filed under the name Mytilus galloprovincialis (Mediterranean mussel). The record is from RNAcentral. Lineage: Eukaryota; Metazoa; Mollusca; Bivalvia; Mytilida; Mytilidae.